CCCGGGCGCACCUCCCCAGGUAGGAGCAGCUGUGGCGGCGCGGUAGGAGCCCCACAGCGUCAGGGCGGGGAGGGCGCUUGGAGAUCCCCCGGGUCGGCCCCCUCCGCACCCCGAUCGACUGAGGCCCGGAGAGUUCAGGAACCGGCUCGGGAGACCUCAGCGCCCGAACUCGGAGUUUUCGGACUUUUCAGGCCUCUGCCAAGGGCUUGGACUCGCAGGUGAAAGGACGGGCUCAUCUCACUUUUUUGUCCUGAGAGGGUGGUCUCUCUGGGCUCCUGCACAGCAGGCUUUUCCGUGGAGGCUGGAAGGGUCUGGAGCUGACUCCAAGACAUGGUCUUUCUCUCCAUAGAUGGUGGAAAGCUGCACUUGAAGUCCAACUCUGUCCUGGGGGAAUAAUUAUGUUCCCUGUCUUGGGAGCCUUUCUUCAGGGAGCUUGAUGGUUCCAACCCACCCAGGAGCCUGGGACAUCUGUGCCCCUGGGCAAUCCCCUGCAGUUUCCUGAUUCCAAGAUGAGGGGGUAGAAUCCGAAGAUCUCCAAGGCCUUGAUGAGUGCUACCAGUCUGCAAAUUCCCAAGCCAAGUUCUUCAAUGAAUCAAAUUUCCUCCAGUAGCCAUUUCUACCAAAGGAGCAACUGUUUUUCCUUCCCACUGACAUGGCUAUGUAUUCGAACUGGAUAUAGGACACUGGGACCUGAAGUCUUGGAGAGGAUGUAAUCACUAAGUCAUCCCAAGGAAGAGUGGGAUGCCUACAAGAGAGGGAUGCCUACAAGAGAGGGAUGCCUAAAUUGGUUACCCCUAAGCCCACCGACUUUUAAGGCAUGUGUAAGUGAGUGGGAACCUGCAAAAAGACUGGAAGGAGCAGCCAGAGAGGUAGGAAGAAAACCAGGAGUGCCUGUUGUCACGGAAGCUGAGGGCAAGGAGGACAGUGGUUGGGAGAAUCUGAUGCAGCAGCUCCAAGGACCAUGGCCCCAGGAACUAGGCACAAGUGACAGGAGACACUUGCUAUGUCUAAACCCAGUGCACCCUCAGCCCGGCCUCGCCUUUUCAAGGACGGCUAGCACAGGCCAUCAUCCUGGCCCACGAUGAAGGUGAGCAUCAAACUCCAAUUUCUGAAGAGGAAACUGAAGACCAGAGAGGGGAGGUAAACAUCCCAAAGUCACCAGCAAGUCAGUGGGAGACACAACUUUAACCCUAGUUUUGACUGGCAGUCUGUGGGCAUCGAGGCCACCAUUCCAUGUACCUAAUGUGUGUCUGGCAGUGUUCCAGGCCUCACCUGCAUCAUUUCUAAUCCUCUCAACCAGAGGAUCAGAGAGGUGGCGUUUUUACCCCUAGUACACAGAGGAGGCGCUUGGGGUUCAGAGGCACGUGUGGAACUAGACCGACGCCACUCACCCCAGCAGGUGGCCAAGCGGGAUGGGAGCGCGGGUCUCCCCAUCCCCAGCGGUGACGGGCGGCGGCUCUUUCCUGAAGAAUGGGGCGGCGUCCGCAACGGGAACCGCUGGAGGCGCUCCCCGGGACCCUGGCCCGCCCUCGCCCCCGCGCAUGCCUGGCCGCUGAGGCGUGAGAGCCGCCGCCCGGGGCCUCCCCCCGCGCGCCUUGCACAACCGGCCCAGGUAAGUGCUGCGUCUCUGGGCAAUUAUCGCCCUCCCGCCGCCGGGGCUGGCCGCGCACAGGGCCCACGGCCAAGGCACUCGCAGCCACCCAAGGAGAGCUGCACGGUCUACGACGGCCGCCAGCGCGCGCGAUUUCACAAGGCCCGGGAGCGGGGACGGGGCGGGGCGGCGGGGGCGGUGACGUCACGCGCAGCCACGCCCCGCGGUUGCCCCGCCCCCGCGCUGGGCCGGGCCUGGGGAGGAAGCGAUGCGAGGCCACCUGUCCACCUGCGCCGCUUCGUCCUUCCUCCUCCUCCUCCCUGUCAGCUGUUUUUCUUUCUUCCCAUCUCCCAUCUCUUCCUUUUUAUCCCUCUCAUUCCUCCCUCUUUCCGUCCGUUUCCUUCUCCCUUCCCCAUCUCCUUCCUUUUAAUUUUCCUUUUCUCCUCCCUCCCGCCUUCCUUCUCUCUGCUUCCUUUCUCUUCCUCCCUCCCUCCUUCUCUUCCGCCUGCUUCCUUUCUUUCUCCUCUCUCUCCUUUCUUCCUUUCCUCCUCUCCUUUUUCUUUUUCUUUUAUUUUCUUUCUUU
This 2174-nucleotide long non-coding RNA is filed under the name Homo sapiens (human). RNAcentral's name for it is "HSALNT0152804". The record is from RNAcentral. Lineage: Eukaryota; Metazoa; Chordata; Mammalia; Primates; Hominidae.